Molecule: ribosomal RNA, 497 nt
Filed under: uncultured bacterium
Lineage: Bacteria
Description: partial 16S ribosomal RNA
Rfam family: Bacterial small subunit ribosomal RNA
Source: RNAcentral
GAUGAACGCUGGCGGCGUGCCUAAUACAUGCAAGUCGAGCGAACGGACGAGAAGCUUGCUUCUCUGAUGUUAGCGGCGGACGGGUGAGUAACACGUGGAUAACCUACCUAUAAGACUGGGAUAACUUCGGGAAACCGGAGCUAAUACCGGAUAAUAUUUUGAACCGCAUGGUUCAAAAGUGAAAGACGGUCUUGCUGUCACUUAUAGAUGGAUCCGCGCUGCAUUAGCUAGUUGGUAAGGUAACGGCUUACCAAGGCAACGAUGCAUAGCCGACCUGAGAGGGUGAACGGGCCAACUGGAACUGGGAAACGGUCCCGACCCCCACGGGAGGCAGCAGUAGGGAAUCUUCCGCAAUGGGCGAAAGCCUGACGGAGCAACGCCGCGUGAGUGAUGAAGGUCUUCGGAUCGUAAAACUCUGUUAUUAGGGAAGAACAUAUGUGUAAGUAACUGUGCACAUCUUGACGGUACCUAAUCAGAAAGCCACGGCUAACUACGUG